RNAcentral lists this ribosomal RNA (983 nucleotides) under uncultured marine bacterium. RNAcentral describes it as "bacterial SSU rRNA". It matches the Rfam family "Bacterial small subunit ribosomal RNA", at positions 77 to 1053 of the family's 1533-position model. The record is from RNAcentral.
ACUUCGGUGUGAGUAAAGCGGCGGACGGGUGAGUAACGCGUAGGAAUCUACCUAGUAGUGGGGGACAACUCGGGGAAACUCGAGCUAAUACCGCAUACGCCCUACGGGGGAAAGCGGGGGACCUUCGGGCCUCGUGCUAUUAGAUGAGCCUGCGUCGGAUUAGCUAGUUGGUGGGGUAAAGGCCUACCAAGGCGACGAUCCAUAGCUGGUCUGAGAGGAUGAUCAGCCACACCGGGACUGAGACACGGCCCGGACUCCUACGGGAGGCAGCAGUGGGGAAUAUUGCGCAAUGGGCGAAAGCCUGACGCAGCCAUGCCGCGUGUGUGAAGAAGGCCUUCGGGUUGUAAAGCACUUUCAAUUGGGAGGAAAGGUUCACGGUUAAUAACCGUGAGCUGUGACGUUACCUUUAGAAGAAGCACCGGCUAACUCCGUGCCAGCAGCCGCGGUAAUACGGAGGGUGCGAGCGUUAAUCGGAAUUACUGGGCGUAAAGCGCGCGUAGGUGGUCUGUUAAGUCGGAUGUGAAAGCCCCGGGCUCAACCUGGGAACUGCAUCCGAUACUGGCAAACUAGAGUGCGGGAGAGGGAGGUAGAAUUCCAUGUGUAGCGGUGAAAUGCGUAGAUAUGUGGAGGAAUACCAGUGGCGAAGGCGGCCUCCUGGCUCGACACUGACACUGAGGCGCGAAAGCGUGGGGAGCAAACAGGAUUAGAUACCCUGGUAGUCCACGCCGUAAACGAUGUCUACUAGCUGUAGGGGUACUUGAGACCUUUGUAGCGCAGCUAACGCAAUAAGUAGACCGCCUGGGGGAGUACGGCCGCAAAGGUUAAAACUCAAAUGAAUUGACGGGGGCCCGCACAAGCAGUGGAACCAUGUGGUUUAAUUCGAUGCAACGCGAAGAACCUUACCAGGCCUUGACAUCCUCGGAACUUUCUAGAAGAUAGAUUGGUGCCUUCGGGAACCGAGUGACAGGUGCUGCAUGGCUGUC